AGGUAAAGCACUAAACGACGACGUACUUUCGAACCCAUUGACAACACUACCCUUUACACCACCACCAAAACCCACAACACUCCCAUCACUACCAGUGGCAUCAUCAUAAAUAUUGUCAAGUUGGAGGACAGUUCUAGGAGUCGAGGUAUUUGCACUUACAGAAGCACCGGAAAUCGCUCUGAACCCGGUUUCCGUCGAACCGGUCAGUCUAUUCCUCCCCGGUUCAUCAAACCGUAGUGACUGAGAAGGUGAAACAAAUCGA
This 262-nucleotide unclassified non-coding RNA is filed under the name Hevea brasiliensis (rubber tree). Lineage: Eukaryota; Viridiplantae; Streptophyta; Magnoliopsida; Malpighiales; Euphorbiaceae. The record is from RNAcentral.